Non-coding RNA from Amborella trichopoda, 4007 nucleotides. The record is from RefSeq and is a predicted model, not a curated record. Lineage: Eukaryota; Viridiplantae; Streptophyta; Magnoliopsida; Amborellales; Amborellaceae.
GCCCGGUGAAGAAGCAAACUCACGCGCCACGCGUACACGGCACUUAGGAACUUCGGCUCGACAUACGCGCGCAGUGGCAAGCUCGAGCUUGCCCACCACCCACCCGCAAGCUUGGGCGCUCAAGACAAAGGGGGAGAGAAAAAAUAAAGAAAAACAGUUUUUAUAAGCGAGGCAAUUGAACAAGGAAAAACUUCCAAGGGGAUCGAAUGUGAACUUUUGGGUGCUGAAGCGGCUCAGUUCGAAGCCCAGACGAACUUCGAAGGAGUUAUGUUGAGGGAUUGAUAAUGGCGAACUUCCUUGCUUCAGACGAAUGUGAUAUGGACAUGGCCACGAGGAGAGGGGGAGUGGUAGAAUGGGGAGAGAGAGAGGGUGAAAUAAAAUAAGAGCUGGGUUGGAAGGGUCAUGGAUUGCUAGAGCUUAAAGAGAAAUAGAAGGGGGAUUGAGAGAGAGAGCAAGAGCGCAGGGAGUAGAGACGAAAUAAAGAUUAGGUAGAUGAGAGUGGGAGGCAGCCUGAGAUCGAUUGUAUAUUGGUGGUUUUUAUUGUUUCUUUUUUAAUGUUGUUCUUCUAUGGCAUUUUCCUUUUCAGUCUUCAGUCACAGCUUUGAGGGGCUCAAUUUUAGUGCGAGAAGCGAGAAAGAGCUUUGCAAAGUUCAUAUCAAUCUGAAACUUGGGGUUACUGUGUUCUUUAGAGAGAGAACAUAUGACUUCCGAUGAACCCAUUUGUGAGAAUUUAUUGUUUUUCAGAAGACAAGAAGUAAAACCCAUAAAGGAAAAUGUGGAUUUUGCAGAGAGGAUAUCUUUAAUUAUUCGGAAAUGUGGGUGGAAUUCAGUUUGUUCCGAUGUAUCAAGGUUUGAUAUGAGCCCUUGGAGUGUUUCUCGUCUUCUAAAUGAUGUGUUUGAAGGGAGUCGGGAUGCUCGAUUGUCUCUCUAUAUGUUUAGAUGGUUAGAGAGAAAAAAAUAACUGGGUCUGUAUGUACAUUGAUAAACAUUCUGGUCUCUGCAAAAUUUAACCAUAUAGCAACUGAAUUUUUAAUUUAUCUUGUUGGGUCAAGUGGGGGAGGACCUUGUGAAAUUUUUGAUGCCUACUCGAAGGGAUAGAAAAACUUCUACAACUGUGCUUAGCAUGGCAGUUCAUUGUUAUUUGCAGGAAAACAUGGUAGAUGAUACUUUCCAAAUGAAGCUUCUAGGCUUAUAUCCCACAACUCGAGUGUACAAUACUCUUAUCAGUAAGCUCUUGAAUUUGAAACAGUUUGAAUUAGCUUGGGAAGUGUUUAUGGACCUACAAAGCCAGGGGAUUGAGCCGAAGAUCAUUCUUUUUAGUCUAUUUAUCUAUGAAUUUUGUGGCAGAGGUGAUCUGGUAAGUGCUCAGAACUUACUUUUGACCAUGGAGAUUAAUGGGUGUAAGCCUGAUGUUGUAGCCUACACAAUGAUAAUUAAUGCUCUAUUAAAAAAUGGUAGCAUAAAAGAAGUUCAUUCUCUCUUAUAUAAAAUGAGUUUUAGGGGGAGUUUCUCCUGAUUUCCUUUCAUUAUCUGCAGUUAUAGAUGGAUAUUGCAAUGUGGGUAAGUUGUAGGAAGCCAUGAAUCUCUUAAAAAGUUAUGGUUACACCCCUGACAUAUUUGUAUAUAACAGUUUUGUCUCUAGGGUAUGCAAAGAUGGUGAUCUGGUACAGGCUAUAGAGUUCUUUAGAGAAAUGUGUGAUUUUGGUUUGCUUCCUGAUUGUGUUAGCUACACUUCCAUUAUUAGAGGUUAUUGUAGAAUAAGAAAUACCGUCCAAGCUCUUAGAUAUUUUUGUGAAAUGUUAAAGAAAAGACUGAAACCAUUUAUUGUUACUUAUACUGCUCUGAUUGAUGGCAAUUGCCACGCUGAGGAGAUUACAGAUGCAGAAUACAUAUUUUUAAGGAUGAGAGAGGAUGGUUUUCUCCCAGAUAUUGUCACAUAUAAUGCAUUAAUUGAUGGGCGCAGCAAAGAGGGGGAUUUUCAGAAGGCGUUUGAAUUGCUCGACUUCAUGCAUUCUGCAAAUAUAGAACCGGAUACUACAACCUAUAACAUGCUGAUAAAUGGGCUUAUCAAAAGAGGUUAUAAGAAAGAAUCAAGAGAACUAAAGGGGUUUCUCUCCUGACGAGUUCACAUAUACUACUAUCAUAGAUGGGUCUUCUAAAGAGGGAAAUUCAAUGAAGCCUUUCUUAUAUGGUGUCACAUGAGUGAAAAGGGAUUCAAGCCAGGUGUUAUUACUUGUAGGGCGCUCCUUAAUAGGCUUGCAAAGCAGGCCAUAUGGUGGAAGCAAGUGCUUUAUUUGGUAAAAUGAUCGAUGCUUGUUUGACUCCCGAUAGGAUAAUAUAUCAUACACUUAUACAUGGAUUCUGUAAGGACGGAAACAUGGAUGAAGUUUGUAGCUUGUUAAAUUUGAUGGAAGAGAAGUUUAUAAUGCCAGAUGAUGUUACUUUUAGAGUGUUCUCCUAUGGUUUAGAGAAAAUCAGGGUUGAGGAUGCUUUAGAAAAAGCAAGUAUGAGGACUCAACAUAUAUAUUGGAAAAAUUGAAUAUACCUGACAAAUUCGAUAACACGCGUUGUUCUGAAUGAAAAGAUUAAAACUUGAUUGAGCUGCCUCAAAUUGUCUUCCCAGUGAAACUUCACCUAGGUGGAAUGUGCUUCAUGAUUAGUGGAAAACCCCACAAGGUUAAAACUCGGCUUCUCUUAUAUGGAAGGCUCUUUGAAAAACGAUCUUUGGUAACCUGUGGUUCUGCACAUACUGUGAUGUGCAUGUGCAACAUUUCAGGUUUAAUCCGAGUGAUUUGGCCCAAUUCCUGAUCCGGAUUGCUGAUUUACCGAUCCAAAUCGAUUUUUGGGAUGUUCGAUCCGGAUCACCGAUCUAUUUUUUAAACCACCUGUGUAAACGCAUCAAAUAGGACGCCUCUUGCUUGAAGCUUCCAUGGCAGCCAUGACGAAGCCCAAACUCAAGACUAAAUUUAUGCGUUAUUUAUGCUGUUCAUCACUCGAAAAAGAUUCAACCAUGGCGCCUACCAAGCCAGACGAUUUAAUCGUAAGUUUAACGGAUCAUACUUUUCCUUUCUUUUCCUUUUUUCUUUGAAUCUUUUUUUAUUAACUUUUCUCUGCAGAGAAAGAAAAAGGCACUGUAUAUCCUUGCUUUGUUUUUAACAACUUUUCUCUGCAGAGAAAGAAAAAGGCACUAUGUAUCCUUGCGUUGUUUUUAACAGGUGCAAGAAAAGAUGGAUCCAAACCCCCUCCAUAUCGAAAAAGCGCCAAAUUCAUGUUUUUCUUCUGGUUCUAUCUCUAAUUCUUGGCGGAGAAGUUAUAAGGGUGAAUGGUCUUGGGAUAGGAAUCCGGAAUUUGAUAGGAUUCCCGAACUUGAGAGGGAAAAACAACAAAAAGGUUUCGUUGAUUCGUUGGAGGCUUAUUCUGAACAGGAAAGUUACCUGACUCGUGAUAGGACUCAGAAUUUUUUUUGUUGAUUCUUCGGAAGCCUAUUCUAACCAGGAAAGUUGAUAGGACUCCGAAAUCUGAUAAGAGUCCGGAAUUUGAUAGGAAAAAACAAGGUCUAGUCUGGAGAUUUUUGGGUGAGCAAUUUCAUGGCUGGAAUUUGCCGGUAUCAUCUGGAAAUUUAGUGGUAAAAAGGGCCUUCAUCUCUUUAGUCUUGUUCUGCGUUUCCCCUCUUUUUCUACCAAGGAGCUGAAAAUGUACCGGAGCUUUUUCUAUCAAGGCUCUGAAAAUCGACCACAGCUGAGCUGAGGAGUUCGAGGGGACUGAUCUUUGUAGGUUCUGCAUGGCGACAUUGAUGAGCUAAAAGUUUAACGUGAUAUUUGUGUUAAUUUUCUCUACUAUUUUGUUGGGGUGGACUAUAAUUCGCAUCAACAUUCUUCAUUCUUUACACUUUUGAAGUUUGUACUGUUCUAUUCUGGGUUGUUUAAGUUUAUACUUUUCUGGGGUCCUAUCAUUUUUUUAAUAUGAUCAUGAAAUUCAAUGUUAUUUGUGAGAGGUUUGGUCUUGAA